GGGGAUGCCCGCACUGACAGCCCUAUCCCGCCCGGCCGCCCAGGCUCUUGCGCAACUCCGGAGAAGCGAAGCAACUCCUCCCAGCCCCUCCUUCCCUCGGGGUUUCCGGGGUACCGGGCCUCGAACCCCGACGGCUUCCUCUCCGCGGUCCCGCCGCCUGGGUGUCGCGGGGGAGAGCGUGACCACUGCGAGGUGACAUCCACCCCAUCCCGCCGCGCUGCGGCUGCAGCUGCUGCUCCGGCUGCUGGGGUCCGGGCGGAAGUGUUCGGCGACAUUGGCCAGGCCACGGGGCACGGAGGUGGCACCCACCUGGAGGGGUCCGCCUGAAAACCAAGAGUGUAGAGGCGGAUGGCUGCGGGGGCGGGGUUGGGGCGGGGGCGGGACUGAGCUCUGGAUGAGCCUGGACGGCCCCAGUGCUGCCCGCAGUUCUGCUUUUUCCCCAGAGCUGACUUUUCUUUCCUAGAAAUUAGGUUUCCCUUUCUCUCAUGGAUCAAGGUGAACUCAGGCUGGGAGCCGUGACCUAAGAUACAUUUCAAACCCUGCAAAAGGGAUUCGUGUUCUGGAGGUGCUUGCAAGCCCGGUGAUUUUGAGGUAUAGUUUAGAGAUCCUGAGCCGAAGAUAUGUAAUUCAUUUCAGUUACACAAACAUUUCUUGGAGUUCCCGUUGUGGCUCAGCGCUAAGAACCAAAGUAUCCAUGAGGAUGUGGUUUCCAUUCCUGGCCUCUCUCCAGGGGUUAAGGAUCCCACAUUGCCCUGAGCUGUGGUGUAGGUCUGAGAUGAAGCUCCGAUCUGGUGUUGCUGUGGCUGUGGUGUGGACAGAUGGUUCUGUGGUGUAGGUCGCAGAAGAAGCUUAGGUCCCACGUUGCUGUGGCUGUGGCGUAGGUCGGCGGCUACAGCUCAAUUGGACCCCUAGCCUAGGUAUCUCCAUGUGCUGCCAGUACGGCCUUCAAAAGACAAAAAGCCAAAAAAAAAAUCUGGGAACUUCUCCUGACAGAUGACAUUUUUUAAAGUGAUUAAUUUUAAGCAAAGAAGGGUAGGUAAGAUGAACACUCCAGUCCAAGGAACCUGCAGGAGGAGUUCCCAUCCCGGCGCAGAGGUUAACGAAUCUGACUAGGAGCCAUGAGAGUUCAGGUUCGAUCCUUGGUCUCGCUCAGUGGCUUAAGGAUCUGGCGUUGCUGUGAGCUAUGGGUCACAGAAUGUGGCUCAGAUCCCGCGUUGCUGUGGCUCUGGCAUAGGCCGGGGCCUACAGCUCCAAUUAGACCCCUAGCCCAGGAACCUCCAUAUGCUGAUGGGAAGCAGCUCUAGAAAAAGGCCAAAAAAAAAAAAAAAAAAAAAAAGGGAAAUAGCAGGAGGAAAUGCAAAGACAGUGAGUUGCCUGUUCUUCUGGAACUAGAAAAAUUAGAAAAAUACUCUAAGUGUAAGGCUGGGAAUGGGGAAGUGGGCACAUCACCUAAGCCCUGCUGAGAACGUUGUUUGGUCUGAUAGUAAGGCGAGUGGGAAGAUGGACAGACUUGUAUUUCAUGAGGUCACUGUGGGUGUGGGAGAGUGACCACCAUAUCCAAUAAAGCAGAAACUUUUAAUUAAGCUUUUUUAAAAAAAUCACAAAAGCUUGCCAUGCGUAGUGAUCCACUGUCCUCUCUACCUAGCUUUCUGUGUUUUGAAAACAAGCUCUUUCUCUCUGUCUGCCUUCCCUUUCCCCAUUGCCUCCCAUUUCCCCUUUCCUACUCUACAACUGAUCUGAUUUAAAAAACCCUCCCUGAGGCAGAGGAAUUAUGACAUCAAUGGAAUUCACCUGAUUAUUUUAUCUCUGGUGCUUAUGUAAUUCCCUUAAGCAAUCUAAUUGGCUAAUCACGUUUACAAGGGUUGUCUGACUAUAAAGGCAGUUAAGAAUGGUAUGUUUACGGCAGUUCCCGUUGUGGCUUAGCGGUUAACAAACCUGACUAGUAUUCAUGAGGACAUAGGUUCGAUCCCUGGCACUGCUCAGUGGGUGCCACUGUGGUGUAGGAUGCCAUGAGUUGUGGUGUAGGCUCGGAUGCCAAGUUGCUGCACCUGGGGAGUGUAGCUCUGAUUCAGCCCCUAGCCUGGGAACCUCCAUAUGCCAGCGCGCGAGCCCUAAAAAGAUAACAAUUAAAAAAAAAAAAAAAAAAAAAAAA
Molecule: long non-coding RNA, 2152 nt
Filed under: Sus scrofa (pig)
Lineage: Eukaryota; Metazoa; Chordata; Mammalia; Artiodactyla; Suidae
Description: lncRNA (ENSSSCG00060011584.1)
Source: RNAcentral